This 69-nucleotide transfer RNA is filed under the name Ictidomys tridecemlineatus (thirteen-lined ground squirrel). RNAcentral describes it as "Spermophilus tridecemlineatus (thirteen-lined ground squirrel) tRNA". It matches the Rfam family "tRNA". From Rfam's summary of the family: Transfer RNA (tRNA) molecules are approximately 80 nucleotides in length. Their secondary structure includes four short double-helical elements and three loops (D, anti-codon, and T loops). Further hydrogen bonds mediate the characteristic L-shaped molecular structure. tRNAs have two regions of fundamental functional importance: the anti-codon, which is responsible for specific mRNA codon recognition, and the 3' end, to which the tRNAs corresponding amino acid is attached (by aminoacyl-tRNA synthetases). tRNAs cope with the degeneracy of the genetic code in two manners: having more than one tRNA (with a specific anti-codon) for a particular amino acid; and 'wobble' base-pairing, i.e. permitting non-standard base-pairing at the 3rd anti-codon position. Lineage: Eukaryota; Metazoa; Chordata; Mammalia; Rodentia; Sciuridae. The record is from Rfam by way of RNAcentral.
GGAUUUGUGGUUCAGUAGUAGAGCACUUGCCUUGAAUGUAUGAGGCACUGGGUUCGAUUUUCAGCACCA